AUUACUAAAUUGAUAACCGCAAAGUAAAGAAAGAGUUGAGGAUUUCAUUUCCCAAAGGUGAAGAGCAAUAGAAAGUAUAAGAAUAGUUUCCCUGACUUGGUGGGUUAGAACACUAUCCAAAAUUAGAAACCUUGAGGUCAAUCGAAGCAUCCAAUAUUAAAUUUUCAGGCUGCACGAGAAAAAGAGAGUUUAAUUUCUAUGGACUAACAUUGUGUAACUCUUUUACAUCAUCAUUGUCACGUAUAUAAGUUAAAAUCCGCCAAAAAGAGGUAGGAUAUUAGUUAGUUUGUAGGUGUAGCUUCCUAGAAUGAUUUACUAAAUUCAGUGAGUUGUUUCAAGGGAUCAAAACAGUGAGUUAUUAUUGGAAUUCCUUCACCACUCUUAGGUUCCGUUACUUCAGUUUGUUUUGUAACUCUUUUUCUGUUAUGGUUACUCAAAGAAAAUUUAGGACUAAUAUGUUAACCUUCCCUUUUGUUUCCAUUGUUCCGGAAGCCUCAAGUUUGUUGAACUGAAUUUUCAUAGAUUGCCAGAUUCUAGACUACAAUAUGUGUUCUUGAAUUGUAAUUGAUUAUAAAUUCUUUAAAAUUACCUCACGGUUUUUGUCGAUUGUUUGUACAGAGGGAGUUUCCCACAGGAGAACCCUUCUGGAUUAGCCUCAAUGCCUUUGUAUAAGUCCUUCAAAUGACUCUGUUAUUGAAACGAACAUCCCUUGCAUUCACAACAACCUUCAUCUGCGAGCAAAGUAAUGUUCAUCAUCUGCUGAAGCUUCAAUUCUGGACAAGAAGAUUAAGCUUCCACCUUUGGUCGUAGCACUAUGUUUUGAAAAGCUAGGUUGAAGAAAGAUGCCCAACACUUCAAAAAGGUACAUGACACAUCGAGUGCCACACUAUUGCUGUUACAGUGUUGCUACUAUACCCUACUUCCAUUGCUAAGACGUUUUCUCCUAUUCCAACAGGAAAUUUAACAUGUAUUUUGUCAUCACACAUACAAAGUUGUAACAGUAACUAAGAAUACCAAGAUGACAGCCACUAAUAGUGCUGGCAAUUUAAGUUCAUUUUUUACUGACCCGUCCAAAUAGCCCAUCAAAUAUGUGUUCAAAAAGUGAAUGAAAAAUUACCUAUGUAGA
Solanum lycopersicum (tomato) is the source of this 1126-nucleotide non-coding RNA. NCBI's taxonomy places the organism in Eukaryota, Viridiplantae, Streptophyta, Magnoliopsida, Solanales, Solanaceae. The record is from RefSeq and is a predicted model, not a curated record.